AUACGGAGGGUGCAAGCGUUACUCGGAAUCACUGGGCGUAAAGCGCGCGCAGGCGGCUUGAUAAGUUGGAUGUGAAAGCCUACGGCUCAACCGUAGAACUGCAUCCAAAACUGUCAAGCUAGAGUCUGGGAGGGGAAGAUGGAAUUAGUUGUGUAGGGGUAAAAUCCGUAGAGAUAACUAGGAAUACCAAAAGCGAAGGCGAUCUUCUAGAACAGUACUGACGCUGAGGCGCGAAAGCGUGGGGAGCAAACAGGAUUAGAAACCCUAGUAGUCC
This 274-nucleotide ribosomal RNA is filed under the name uncultured bacterium. RNAcentral's name for it is "partial 16S ribosomal RNA". It matches the Rfam family "Bacterial small subunit ribosomal RNA", at positions 523 to 796 of the family's 1533-position model. The record is from RNAcentral.